CAGCACCUCAAGUGGUCAGGAUGAUUAUUGGGCCUAAAGCAUCCGUAGCCUGUUCUGUAAGUUUCCGGUUAAAUCCAUUAGCUCAACUAAUGGGCUGCCGAAAAUACUGCAAAACUAGGGAGUGGGAGAGGUAGACGGUACUCGGUAGGAAGGGGUAAAAUCCUUUGAUCUAUUGAUGACCACCUGUGGCGAAGGCGGUCUACCAGAACACGUUCGACGGUGAGGGAUGAAAGCUGGGGGAGCAAACCGGAUUAGAUACCCGGGGGUAGUCCCAGCUGUAAACGAUGCAGACUCGGUGAUGCCCCUGGCUUGUGGCCAGUGCAGUGCCGCAGGGAAGCCGUUAAGUUUGCCGCCUGGGAAGUACGUACGCAAGUAUG
RNAcentral lists this ribosomal RNA (377 nucleotides) under uncultured organism. Its description in RNAcentral is "partial 16S ribosomal RNA". It matches the Rfam family "Archaeal small subunit ribosomal RNA", at positions 477 to 851 of the family's 1478-position model. The record is from RNAcentral.